Sitophilus oryzae (rice weevil) is the source of this 1013-nucleotide long non-coding RNA. RefSeq lists it as uncharacterized. Lineage: Eukaryota; Metazoa; Arthropoda; Insecta; Coleoptera; Curculionidae. The transcript has 3 exons. The record is from RefSeq and is a predicted model, not a curated record.
UUUUAGGAUAGUGUGGAUGCACCCUACGUACCAAAACUUAGUAAAAAGGUAAAUAGAGAGAUCACAUGACCCCACAUUUUUGCACCAAAAAUGUACAAUCCCACUUAAAAAAGUACAAUUUCGACACCAUUUAUAGUACAAAAAUUUUUGCCCUUGUAACAACGCUGGCUCUGAACAGAGCAACAAAUGAACAAAUAACUACAUAAUGACUGAUAAUGAUAAGUGAUCAUAAUAACUUUAAUGAUAUGAAGGCUGAUGAAGGUAAUUAUAAACAUUAUUUUGAGUUUGUUUAAUAAAAUAUAGGAUACAAUAUAACUAAGCAAAAUCAAACAGUUUUAGACAACCAAUACAAGAUUUUAGAACUUGACAUCGUGAUAAACAAAUUGUACAUUCAGGAACUCGUUUAAAUAUUAUAGGUUGAUUGACGAAUACUCUACAGUUGAUUAGAGCCCAUGAUGAUGCGAAGAUAAUUAAUAUCACCUAACUUCAAGAAACCAACGUAAAGAAGUUUACAUUCAUAACUCAUCUAACCAUUAUAGAUCAGUAAUGUCGUCAUAAUUUAAAUGAACUCACAGAUAGCAAUGGGGCACUGCACCGAAGCAGUAUUAGAAAAUAUGUGAAAUAAAACUGUAAUACAAAUUGCUCUAUAAAAUUUAAUAGAAAUAAAUUUAUUUAUGAAAAUUAAGUUAUGAAGUUUUAUUUUUCCUAGGAAAAAAAUAACAUUUAUAUUUUGAUCAAUUUAGAACAUUACAGUUAAAAAAAUAUGUGUUAGAAUAACAUAUUUUUAAUAAAAUUGCAGCUUUUAAUUUUUAUACUUUUUUGCUUUUAUAUCAAUAAGAACUAACGUAAGGAACAAUUCAUAUUUAUACUAUGAAAACACAUGCAUAUUUUUUGAUGUUUUUAAAACCAGUGAAUGAUGUUGAAAUAUACUACACCUAUUAUUCUUAUUAACUAACUUUAAUUACAAACUUACACAUUAUUGUCAUUGGAAAUAAAUUAAUUUGGAUAUUCUA